UUGUGACAACAUAACAAGGUGAUACCAUGAUCAGAUGACAACAUUACAAGGUGACACCAUGAUCAGAUGACAACAUUACAAUGUGACAACAUGACAAUGUGACAACAUUACAAUGUGACAACAUUACAUUGUGACAACAUAACAAGGUGUCACCAUGAUCAGAUGACAACAUGAGAAAAGUAACAACAUAAUCAAAUAACAACAUGACCUGGUGACAAGAUGAAAAAGUGACAACAUGAUAGAAUGACAACAUGAUAAAAGUGACUACAUGAUCAGGUGACAGUAUUACAAAGUGACAACAUGAUAAGGUGCCUGUAUUACAAAGUGACAACAUGAUCAGGUGACGGUAUUACAAAGUGAUCGGGUGAUGUAUUACAAAGUGAUCAGGUGACAGUAUUACAAAGUGACAACAUGAUCAGGUGACAGUAUUACAAAGUGAUAAGGUGACAGUAUUACAAAGUGAUCAGGUGACAGUAUUACAAAGUGACAACAUAAGGGGACAGUAUUACAAAGUGAUCAGGUGACAGUAUUACAAAGUGAUCAGGUGACAGUAUUACAAAGUGACAACAUGAUCAGGUGACAGUAUUACAAAGUGAUCAGGUGACAGUAUUACAAAGUGACAACAUGAUCAGGUGACAUUAUUACAAAGUGACAACAUGAUCAGGUGACAUUAUUACAAAGUGACAACAUGAUCAGGUGCCAGUAUUACAAAGUGACAACAUGAUCAGGUGACAGUAUUACAAAGUGACAACAUGAUCAGGUGACAGUAUUACAAAGUGACAAUAUGGUGGUACACUUGUAUAACAACAUGACAGUGUGACAAGAUGACCGGGAGGAUUACAGGAAGAAAUGACAAUAUGUCAAUGUGCCAACACAAAAAGGUAAACAACAUGCUGACUUAAUUUUCAACUCAUUUGUUUUUGAUCUGUCAGCAUAUUGUCGGUGUCCUGGAGUCCUAACACUUUGAUCAAAUAACAAUCACAAUCGUGUAUGUGUCAGAAUGAAGAUUUACAAUUCAUUCACAGACGUGGGCCCUGUGGAAUAGCUCCAGGGCUGUGUUUAGACCUUGUGUGUUUAUAUGUUCCAUGAAUAUUGUAUAGCUUACAGAAUAAAUGCAUUUAAGCAGCUCCAACAGGGACAUAAAUAUUUACGUGUCAGUGAGCGUGUCAGUGAGGGUGCUCCAUUGUAAUGGAGGGAUUGAUAGCGUUACCGUAGAGACCAAUAAUCAAACUCCCGUUCUCCAUUGGUCUUGUAAGCUUAAAGCACUAAAGCAUAUAUUGAUAAUGAGAUUUUCAGAAAAGCUGUUGAAUUUACAAUCAGUUUUGCAAUAAAAAUGAGAAUUUGAUAUCACUGUUCAUACAUAUGGAUUUGACUUGUAACCUUAAUAUGUUAGAGAGGAUGGAAGAUAGGGGAGUAAGAACAGGGGAAUAAAUAAUAGAAUAAGGAGGGAAAUAACUAAUUCAGAAGGAGGAGGGAACAUAGAUAAGGAAAUGGGUAGUUUCGAUGACAAGAAGGGGAAAGGAGUGGAGGAAACAUUAUGAUGGGAAGAGGAACAAAGGGAUGAAGAUGGCG
This 1572-nucleotide long non-coding RNA is filed under the name Mizuhopecten yessoensis (Yesso scallop). RNAcentral's name for it is "uncharacterized LOC110445881". The record is from RNAcentral. Lineage: Eukaryota; Metazoa; Mollusca; Bivalvia; Pectinida; Pectinidae.